CUCUAGCCUCCGUCGCAGUCUCCGGCUUCUGAGUGAGAAAGAAAAUAUUAAUGUAGAUUUAUUUUGAUUAAGGAAUUAAUUUUUUCAACUGGCACUAUCAUAUCAGGUUCUAAUCGAAGCAAUCAAUUGUUAGGGGUUUAUCAUGCAUUAAAUAAAAAUUUAAAAAAUUUUAGAAUAUGUUUAAUAUAAAAUUCAAUUGUAUAUAAUAAUAAAUUUAAUAGCACUUAAAUUGUACCUCCUAAGUCUCCUCCCUCCGCCCGUGUCGUCAAGUAUUACCAAAUCUCUGUUUUUCCAAGAACAGCAUUGUUUAAUUUUCUUUCAUCAUUAUUCACAUCUGUGUUUUUGGAUUGGGGAAGAGAGUUGGAGUUAGGGAGACACGGACUGAAGUUGUUAAAGAGAAAUCCGUCUUCGUUUAUGCACUGUAUAGAUGGAAGCUAACUUCUGUUAGGACCUCAUAAGGACCUUAAUCAUUCUGAGAUUUCCAAGUUCUUCAUUCGAGAUGCAGAUGCUUAUCCCAGGUUCUAUUGGCCCCAUGUUUCCUCUUUUUAGUUAUUAAUGAUUUUGAUCUUGCAUUUUAUUAAAGAGACUGAAGUUUGAGCUAUUGAAGAUUAUCAUUAUUGAUUGAUGUUAUUGUAAUAUAAGCAAAUUUGAUCAUGGUAAUUCAUGUUCCUUUUUAGAUAGAAAUAAUUGUAUUCAUAGUUUGAAGUAGUACUGCAAAUUGAUGCUGGGCUUAGCUUACAAGGUGGGCACCCAAAUAAAGAUCAUGAACUAUCACUGAGAGCAGAAACUGGCCAAAUUUAGUAGGCUUCAUUUUACACAAAAUCAUUUUCAAGAUGAUGUUGAUAUAGUUAACCUAUAAUGUUUUUAACUCUUGGUUUAAUCCUAGUAGUUUGACAUGGGUGUAUAACAUUCUCCAGUUUAAAUGAUUUUUCUUGAUUCUUCAUAUGUCUGUGGUUAAUAUCCUUAGCCUUGUCUUUUAGAGUAGGUGUAUUUUCUUAUAUCUAUACUAAUUCUCAACUCUUUUUAUUUUUUCCUGAUUUUCUAAAUUGAGUAAAUUACAAUAUGCCGGUAUGAGAAUCAGCUAGAGAACUUCUGCAAGUUUAUGGAUCCACUUUUGGAUUCACCUCCUCCAGAAUCUUUGCAUAGUAUCUCAUCUUUAAUGCUGGUUCGAGGACAAAAUACAGAAAUCAGCUUUUUGGGCACGUUUUUCGCGGCAGGCUUUUUCCUUAGGUCAGAGAGAUAUGGUGGACUUCAUGGACCUUUUAUUGUCUCCAGCUUCAAAGGUUUUGAAUAACUGGUUUGAGUGUUUUUGGAGAUGCACUGGCUUCAAAUCUUGUAAAGUUUUACUGACCUUGGCAUAUUUUUCCUCUGCUGCUGAAUUUACAGACGGAUGUUCUGAAGGCAACCCUUGCAACAGAUGCUGUAAUAGGUACCACG
Molecule: RNA transcript, 1437 nt
Organism: Hevea brasiliensis (rubber tree)
Lineage: Eukaryota; Viridiplantae; Streptophyta; Magnoliopsida; Malpighiales; Euphorbiaceae
Exons: 3
Source: RefSeq, a predicted model, not a curated record